Molecule: ribosomal RNA, 464 nt
Filed under: uncultured bacterium
Lineage: Bacteria
Description: partial 16S ribosomal RNA
Rfam family: Bacterial small subunit ribosomal RNA
Source: RNAcentral
CUACGGGGUGCUGCAGUGGGGAAUAUUGCACAAUGGGCGCAAGCCUGAUGCAGCCAUGCCGCGUGUAUGAAGAAGGCCUUCGGGUUGUAAAGUACUUUCAGCGGGGAGGAAGGGAGUAAAGUUAAUACCUUUGCUCAUUGACGUUACCCGCAGAAGAAGCACCGGCUAACUCCGUGCCAGCAGCCGCGGUAAUACGGAGGGUGCAAGCGUUAAUCGGAAUUACUGGGCGUAAAGCGCACGCAGGCGGUUUGUUAAGUCAGAUGUGAAAUCCCCGGGCUCAACCUGGGAACUGCAUCUGAUACUGGCAAGCUUGAGUCUCGUAGAGGGGGGUAGAAUUCCAGGUGUAGCGGUGAAAUGCGUAGAGAUCUGGAGGAAUACCGGUGGCGAAGGCGGCCCCCUGGACGAAGACUGACGCUCAGGUGCGAAAGCGUGGGUAGCAAACAGGAUUAGAUACCCCCGUAGUC